GCCUGCGUAGCUCAGUGGUGGAGCGCAUCCUUGGUAAGGAUGAGGUCGCCGGUUCAAUCCCGGCCGUAGGCUCCA
Molecule: transfer RNA, 75 nt
Filed under: Candidatus Atribacter allofermentans
Lineage: Bacteria; Pseudomonadati; Atribacterota; Atribacteria; Atribacterales; Atribacteraceae
Also listed under: 4 other names
Description: Candidatus Atribacteria bacterium ADurb.Bin276 tRNA-Thr
Rfam family: tRNA
About the family: Transfer RNA (tRNA) molecules are approximately 80 nucleotides in length. Their secondary structure includes four short double-helical elements and three loops (D, anti-codon, and T loops).
Source: RNAcentral